AAAAAAGGUAAGCUACUAAGAGCGAAUGGUGGAUGCCUUGACUGGUAAAGGCGAUGAAGGACGUACUAGACUGCGAUAAGCUACGGGGAGCUGUCAAGAAGCUUUGAUCCGUAGAUUUCCGAAUGGGGCAACCCAAUGUAUAGAGAUAUACAUUACCUAUAUAGGAGCGAACGAGGGGAAUUGAAACAUCUUAGUACCCUCAGGAAAAGAAAUCAAUAGAGAUUGCGUCAGUAGCGGCGAGCGAAAGCGCAAGAGGGCAAACCCAGUGCUUGCACUGGGGGUUGUAGGACUGCAAUGUGCAAGAGGUAAGUUUAGCAGAACAUUCUGGAAAGUAUAACCAUAGAGGGUGAUAGUCCCGUAUGCGAAAAACAAACCUUAUCUAGCAGUAUCCUGAGUAGGGCGGGACACGAGGAAUCCUGUCUGAAUCCGGGUCGACCACGAUCCAACCCUAAAUACUAAUACCAGAUCGAUAGUGCACAAGUACCGUGAGGGAAAGGUGAAAAGAACUGAGGUGAUCAGAGUGAAAUAGAACCUGAAACCAUUUGCUUACAAUCAUUCAGAGCCCUAUGUAGCAAUACAGGGUGAUGGACUGCCUUUUGCAUAAUGAGCCUGCGAGUUGUGGUGUCUGGCAAGGUUAAGCAAACGCGAAGCCGUAGCGAAAGCGAGUCUGAAUAGGGCGCUUAGUCAGAUGCUGCAGACCCGAAACGAAGUGAUCUAUCCAUGAGCAAGUUGAAGCUAGUGUAAGAACUAGUGGAGGACUGAACCCAUAGGCGUUGAAAAGCCCCGGGAUGACUUGUGGAUAGGGGUGAAAGGCCAAUCAAACUUCGUGAUAGCUGGUUCUCUCCGAAAUAUAUUUAGGUAUAGCGUUGUGUCGUAAUAUAAGGGGGUAGAGCACUGAAUGGGCUAGGGCAUACACCAAUGUACCAAACCCUAUCAAACUCCGAAUACCUUAUAUGUAAUCACAGCAGUCAGGCGGCGAGUGAUAAAAUCCGUCGUCAAGAGGGAAACAACCCAGACUACCAGCUAAGGUCCCUAAAUCUUACUUAAGUGGAAAACGAUGUGAAGUUACUUAAACAACCAGGAGGUUGGCUUAGAAGCAGCCAUCCUUUAAAGAAAGCGUAAUAGCUCACUGGUCUAGUGAUUUUGCGCGGAAAA
RNAcentral lists this ribosomal RNA (1155 nucleotides) under Campylobacter jejuni. RNAcentral describes it as "partial 23S ribosomal RNA". It matches the Rfam family "Bacterial large subunit ribosomal RNA", at positions 1 to 1170 of the family's 2925-position model. The record is from RNAcentral. Lineage: Bacteria; Pseudomonadati; Campylobacterota; Epsilonproteobacteria; Campylobacterales; Campylobacteraceae.